RNAcentral lists this non-coding RNA (93 nucleotides) under bovine gut metagenome. Its description in RNAcentral is "THF riboswitch". It matches the Rfam family "THF (Tetrahydrofolate) riboswitch aptamer". From Rfam's summary of the family: THF riboswitch presents a pseudoknot that joins P1-P2 and the loop of P3 and two THF binding. The record is from RNAcentral.
CAGAAUAGGGCAAGCGCGUUAAGUGCCGGCGGAUGGGAUGUUGCCUCCGGACGAAGCGGCGGAAGCUGCGCGGUGCUUGCCCGCAUCCGCUGC